Long non-coding RNA from Triticum aestivum (bread wheat), 4122 nucleotides. RefSeq lists it as uncharacterized. The record is from RefSeq and is a predicted model, not a curated record. The transcript has 6 exons. NCBI's taxonomy places the organism in Eukaryota, Viridiplantae, Streptophyta, Magnoliopsida, Poales, Poaceae.
CCUCCAUCGCUGGUUUUUUUUCGUCUCUCCUCCUGCCACCCUCUCCCAUCGCUGGUUUUUUUUCGUCUCUCCUCCCGCCGCCGUCCCCAGCCGCCCUGCUCCGUUGUUGCUCCCUCCGCCUGCCUCGCCCCUGAUCCCCCAAGCGAGCCUCCGUCCUCCUCUCCAACCCCGGCCUCCACUCCACCGCGCACCACCGGCGACGACUCCUCUCCCAGGCCGCGGAUCCACCCGAGCAGCCGAGGCAGCGGUCAGAUCCGCCCGCCUUCCUUCACUCCCUAUUCGCGCUGGAAACCCUAGCCGCCUGACCAUGCCGAACGACCGCCGGCACGAGGAAUCUGCUGCUCCAGGGACGCCGCCCGCCACCGCCGCCGCCAUGAAUCCCCGGGGACGCCGCCGCCACCGCCGCGGAUCCCCAAGGGUGUGGUCGCUUUGCCCUGAUUGGAGGAGACGUGCUGGCCUUGCCUUGUUUGGAGGACGAACACAGGAAAGUGGAAGGAGUGAUGAAGAACUAAAACAUAGUUACAGUGGGCGUUUUUUAUAGGAACAAAACUGAAGAAUUUGACAUUAACAUAAUUUUAGUAUUAAAUUAGGUGUCCCUGGUUUUGUUAGCAUCAGGACAUGUUGACCUAAUUGUCCAUGGUUACACUCAUCUUCAAACGGCACAACUUGUUUUGCUGCACAUCUUCUCUUACCAUAUGAUGAAAACAGGUAUUCUAUGUUCCAUCCCUCUCUUAUUUCACACUGCAUUAACAAUGUUUUUUCAGUAUGUGGAUUUGCCUAACUUUGCCUUAUUGAUUAUUGAUUUUGUUACUGAUGUGUACACAAACCCUGCCUAAUUAAUUUAGUCUACUAUAUCUAACCAUAUGAAAUCUGAAAGUUGAUUCGGACUACUUGCCUGGUGGGGUGGUACAUUACCUUUGUUUUUUUAACUAUGAGAGCAGAACGACGGCGCCGACGUGGAUGACUCGGAGCUCAACCUUAUCAAGGGCCGCGAGCAGCGGUGACUUUCUUUUCCACGGGAAGAUGGCCAAGGGCGCCAUCAGCCACUUUGUUGUCGCCGUCGAAGAGUCCAAGCUCGUGUCCGCAUCGGUUGCAUUGGUGCCAAUCAGAACUUGCGCCCACCUUGAAGCCAUUAAUCCAGGGAAGUCAAUUUCAGUAUAUUCAGGACAUAGCCAGUAGCUUAGCAAUUUCCACGACUAUGUUUUGUUUAAAAUAAAGUUGUAUGCAGAAUAUGCAUGAUGCUCUCUUUUAUCAAAGUAUACCCAUGUGUCUAUUUUGUCAUCCAGUUGCAAUGCACGGGAACCUUCGAUUUGAUUCAGUUUUAUCUUCUACUGCAGAUAGGGAAAUAUGGACAUUGGAUAUCCAUUUCUUAGGUGUCAAUCUGGUGCUUAGGCUAUAUAAUAGUACAUGGCGGAGUUCUUCCAGCUACUAAUUCAGGUUAUCUGAUUUAUAGGUUAGGCACUUUGCUUUAAGCAUAGUUACCUAUUCGAUGGUGACCAGCCUUCCGUCAGAUGCGUCAUACAAACAAUUCAGGCGCUUCCUCAAAAUUUAUUACUUUAGAGACAUAGGGAUCCUGAGGUUGACACAGUUGAUUCUUGCUGCUGCUUAUGCAUCCCUGGACUUUAGUUAAAUGUAUAUUAUCUGGAUAUUUCCUAUACUUUAUCAAGUGUAGGGUUCUGAAAAUAAGGACAGCCAUUUGGUCCACCUUUUGCAGUUCAUCAUAAUAGCAUAUGAUGUUAAAAAAUGACAACUUGCCAAGUUACAGUUCUGAAAUAUUUCCUUUUGUAGCAUAUGUACCAACAAGAUGGUGAACUAGAUUCAAAUUUCAUACUCCUCUUUUCCGUGAAAUAUUUCCUCUGCAUUUUUAUUUGUCAUUUAUUUAUGCUCGUGUUGCAAGGUUCAGCCACUGCUUCAAAAUUGUAGGAAUUUCUUGUGGUCUCGAAUGCGAAUUUCUUGUGGUCUCGAAUGGAUGAACAAAGAGCGCUAGCUUUGUAAUGCCUGUGAGACAAUAUGUGGGAGAGUAUAUUGAUUUAUUUUUUAAGGGAAGCAAGUGACUUAUGUCAAUGUAGUCAUAUAGGCCAUGAGUUAUCUUCUAGCACAAAAUAUAGAAAUAGUUUCUUCUUUGUCUAUUCCUCUUUUUUCUUUGUUGCUUCUUUAAUUUCUCAAUGUUGAGCUUCCCUGUAUGAUGAUUGUAAUGAGCCAGAUUGGCAAAGACUGGACAUUCUAAAUUUGGAAGAAUGCAAUGAUCAUUUUUUUGUGCAGUUGUAAAUGCAACGCAUAAUGAAACAAAACAUAGAUACUCCUAGGCUCGUUCUUUCUACUGCAAUUAAAUACUUAUUAUGACACUUUUGUCAAUCUUUUAGGCAUGUUUUAUUAUCUUCUUCUGAAGGUUUGGAGAUGGUGGCCUGUGAGGAGGAUUUCAGGGGAGAUCGUGUGUGAAUAUAACAAAAGGUUGAGAUUUGACCUGCACUGUAUGAGAAAAGCAGGUUCAGGAGCUCCAAGCUAACAAUUGCCAGAGCUUUCAAAAGAUGUAAGAUUUCUACUUUCUAGGUUCUCUCACAAAAUUUGUUGUAUCCUGUUAUUUUGUAUGGCAGUCGGGUUUGUUGCAAAAUGAGCUAUAGACCUAUUGUUCAAUUUUGUUUGAUAUAGAAUAAUAUUUUGCUGUUCUGGAUGGAUUUUAGGAAUGCUUUUUUUAUGUGGGAGCGAUCUUUUUGAUUCAGUCUCUGUAGUGAUAUCGGAGAGGCACUACACUUUUGACAUCUGCCGAGAAAUAGUCAUUUAAACCUGCAGGUUUUUUACAAUUAAAGUGAACAUACUGUGAUGGUGUCAUUUUUUUUAAACAUCGAAGAGGAAUUUCAGGAAGGCACCCCUUUCUUCUUCAGAGGCCAGCGUAUUUGGGAAGCAGUCAUUAGGGAACUUUUAUCAAGAAGUAGCCUUCCUACAAAAAAAAGGGCAGUUGAUUCUUUAGAAGUAUUUGGAGCAACCAAAAUUGAAGUGAGAACACGAUACUUCACUGGUGUGUCCAUACAUAUGUCUAUAUAUACAGUGGAACUCCAAGUGAGUACGAAUCAAAUGAAUGAUGCCCCAAGAGCUCGGGUGCAUUUCAAAAUGUUCUAUUCCUCCCACAUUCAGCCAACUGGAGUAUCCUGCUCUCCCUUCUAGAGGUUCUACAGUUCAAUCGCUAUUUUACAAAUCAGGUGCUUGCAUUCUGUUGUAUCAAGAUGUGUAAAUAGUUAGUAAGUUGUCUGCUGAUUACCAAGUUCAUUGACUUAUGAAGGAACUCUAACUCGCGAAAGUCUACAUGGAAUGAGUUCUGUAGUUCUCAUAUAUUUUUUACUAAAAGAAAAAUGAAUUUACUUGGUUCAUCUUUUUGUUCUGUAGUAAUCGAUCAUAUCAUAUAGUUUUGAAGGAUCUGACAUUUUAAGUUGUCUAUAAGUAUGCAUGCUUGGGACAAGGGUGGAUGAAAUAUCAAUUGGGAUUAGUAGGGUGUAUUUUACUUGGUGUGUCCACGCGUAUGUUUGUUACUGAUCAUACCAAUAUAUAUCUUCUAGAACUUAUGUUGAGUUGUAUGUUACUCUGUGUUGUGUACAAUGGAUUCUUUCUUGCCUAUUUUCCCUGUCAUGACAAGGUUUCAAUGGCGUAUCUCCCGUAGCAACGCAAGGGCGAAGGAGGCAGUUGUCACCGACUGCGGGGCCGGAUGUGUCGGACGCGCGCACUCGCCCGCAGUCAACGCAGACAUACUUAGCGACCGUCCAUGGCGACGAGCGGCUCCGGGGUGUGGCUACGGGGUUGGGUGGUUCAAGCGGCCACUUCUGCAGCUACAUGGGAUUUCUUCAGGACCAUCAGCAGAAUUGUUCAGGAAGCAUACCGAGCAGGCCAUAUAUUCAACAAACCUCUGUAACGAUGCACUCUGUCUUUUCUUGAACACGCACCAGGUACAUCUCAAAACCAUUUUCUGUAAUCGUGGAACCAAGUUUGGAGCUGAAAUGUUUCCAGUUAUCCAGAGACAAAAAAAGGGCAGAAUUGAGUGUACGUGCUUGUAACUAUGAGCCUUCUUCUGUAUAAAGAUGUACACUACACACACAUAUUAUACAAUUUAUUAGAAGACAAUUCUUCUACUCA